GGGUUGUGAGGUUAAGCGACUAAGCGUACACGGUGGAUGCCCUGGCAGUCAGAGGCGAUGAAGGACGUGCUAAUCUGCGAUAAGCGUCGGUAAGGUGAUAUGAACCGUUAUAACCGGCGAUUUCCGAAUGGGGAAACCCAGUGUGAUUCGUCACACUAUCAUUAACUGAAUCCAUAGGUUAAUGAGGCGAACCGGGGGAACUGAAACAUCUAAGUACCCCGAGGAAAAGAAAUCAACCGAGAUUCCCCCAGUAGCGGCGAGCGAACGGGGAGCAGCCCAGAGCCUGAAUCAGUGUGUGUGUUAGUGGAAGCGUCUGGAAAGGCGCGCGAUACAGGGUGACAGCCCCGUACACAAAAAUGCACAUACUGUGAGCUCGAUGAGUAGGGCGGGACACGUGGUAUCCUGUCUGAAUAUGGGGGGACCAUCCUCCAAGGCUAAAUACUCCUGACUGACCGAUAGUGAACCAGUACCGUGAGGGAAAGGCGAAAAGAACCCCGGCGAGGGGAGUGAAAAAGAACCUGAAACCGUGUACGUACAAGCAGUGGGAGCACGCUUAGGCGUGUGACUGCGUACCUUUUGUAUAAUGGGUCAGCGACUUAUAUUCUGUAGCAAGGUUAACCGAAUAGGGGAGCCGAAGGGAAACCGAGUCUUAACUGGGCGUUAAGUUGCAGGGUAUAGACCCGAAACCCGGUGAUCUAGCCAUGGGCAGGUUGAAGGUUGGGUAACACUAACUGGAGGACCGAACCGACUAAUGUUGAAAAAUUAGCGGAUGACUUGUGGCUGGGGGUGAAAGGCCAAUCAAACCGGGAGAUAGCUGGUUCUCCCCGAAAGCUAUUUAGGUAGCGCCUCGUGAAUUCAUCUCCGGGGGUAGAGCACUGUUUCGGCAAGGGGGUCAUCCCGACUUACCAACCCGAUGCAAACUGCGAAUACCGGAGAAUGUUAUCACGGGAGACACACGGCGGGUGCUAACGUCCGUCGUGAAGAGGGAAACAACCCAGACCGCCAGCUAAGGUCCCAAAGUCAUGGUUAAGUGGGAAACGAUGUGGGAAGGCCCAGACAGCCAGGAUGUUGGCUUAGAAGCAGCCAUCAUUUAAAGAAAGCGUAAUAGCUCACUGGUCGAGUCGGCCUGCGCGGAAGAUGUAACGGGGCUAAACCAUGCACCGAAGCUGCGGCAGCGACGCUUAUGCGUUGUUGGGUAGGGGAGCGUUCUGUAAGCCUGUGAAGGUGUGCUGUGAGGCAUGCUGGAGGUAUCAGAAGUGCGAAUGCUGACAUAAGUAACGAUAAAGCGGGUGAAAAGCCCGCUCGCCGGAAGACCAAGGGUUCCUGUCCAACGUUAAUCGGGGCAGGGUGAGUCGACCCCUAAGGCGAGGCCGAAAGGCGUAGUCGAUGGGAAACAGGUUAAUAUUCCUGUACUUGGUGUUACUGCGAAGGGGGGACGGAGAAGGCUAUGUUGGCCGGGCGACGGUUGUCCCGGUUUAAGCGUGUAGGCUGGUUUUCCAGGCAAAUCCGGAAAAUCAAGGCUGAGGCGUGAUGACGAGGCACUACGGUGCCGAAGCAACAAAUGCCCUGCUUCCAGGAAAAGCCUCUAAGCAUCAGGUAACAUCAAAUCGUACCCCAAACCGACACAGGUGGUCAGGUAGAGAAUACCAAGGCGCUUGAGAGAACUCGGGUGAAGGAACUAGGCAAAAUGGUGCCGUAACUUCGGGAGAAGGCACGCUGAUAUGUAGGUGAAGUCCCUCGCGGAUGGAGCUGAAAUCAGUCGAAGAUACCAGCUGGCUGCAACUGUUUAUUAAAAACACAGCACUGUGCAAACACGAAAGUGGACGUAUACGGUGUGACGCCUGCCCGGUGCCGGAAGGUUAAUUGAUGGGGUCAGCGCAAGCGAAGCUCUUGAUCGAAGCCCCGGUAAACGGCGGCCGUAACUAUAACGGUCCUAAGGUAGCGAAAUUCCUUGUCGGGUAAGUUCCGACCUGCACGAAUGGCGUAAUGAUGGCCAGGCUGUCUCCACCCGAGACUCAGUGAAAUUGAACUCGCUGUGAAGAUGCAGUGUACCCGCGGCAAGACGGAAAGACCCCGUGAACCUUUACUAUAGCUUGACACUGAACAUUGAGCCUUGAUGUGUAGGAUAGGUGGGAGGCUUAGAAGUGUGGACGCCAGUCUGCAUGGAGCCGACCUUGAAAUACCACCCUUUAAUGUUUGAUGUUCUAACGUUGACCCGUAAUCCGGGUUGCGGACAGUGUCUGGUGGGUAGUUUGACUGGGGCGGUCUCCUCCUAAAGAGUAACGGAGGAGCACGAAGGUUGGCUAAUCCUGGUCGGACAUCAGGAGGUUAGUGCAAUGGCAUAAGCCAGCUUGACUGCGAGCGUGACGGCGCGAGCAGGUGCGAAAGCAGGUCAUAGUGAUCCGGUGGUUCUGAAUGGAAGGGCCAUCGCUCAACGGAUAAAAGGUACUCCGGGGAUAACAGGCUGAUACCGCCCAAGAGUUCAUAUCGACGGCGGUGUUUGGCACCUCGAUGUCGGCUCAUCACAUCCUGGGGCUGAAGUAGGUCCCAAGGGUAUGGCUGUUCGCCAUUUAAAGUGGUACGCGAGCUGGGUUUAGAACGUCGUGAGACAGUUCGGUCCCUAUCUGCCGUGGGCGCUGGAGAACUGAGGGGGGCUGCUCCUAGUACGAGAGGACCGGAGUGGACGCAUCACUGGUGUUCGGGUUGUCAUGCCAAUGGCACUGCCCGGUAGCUAAAUGCGGAAGAGAUAAGUGCUGAAAGCAUCUAAGCACGAAACUUGCCCCGAGAUGAGUUCUCCCUGACCCUUUAAGGGUCCUGAAGGAACGUUGAAGACGACGACGUUGAUAGGCCGGGUGUGUAAGCGCAGCGAUGCGUUGAGCUAACCGGUACUAAUGAACCGUGAGGCUUAACCUUACAACGCCGAAGGUGUUU
This 2931-nucleotide ribosomal RNA is filed under the name Escherichia coli. RNAcentral describes it as "bacterial LSU rRNA". It matches the Rfam family "Bacterial large subunit ribosomal RNA". Lineage: Bacteria; Pseudomonadati; Pseudomonadota; Gammaproteobacteria; Enterobacterales; Enterobacteriaceae. The record is from RNAcentral.